UACGUAGGGACCAAGCGUUGUUCGGAUUUACUGGGCGUAAAGGGCGCGUAGGCGGCUUGACAAGUCACUUGUGAAAUCUCCGGGCUUAACUCGGAACGGCCAAGUGAAACUGUCAUGCUAGAGUGCAGAAGGGGCAAUCGGAAUUCUUGGUGUAGCGGUGAAAUGCGUAGAUAUCAAGAGGAACACCUGAGGUGAAGACGGGUUGCUGGGCUGACAUUGACGCUGAGGCGCGAAAGCCAGGGGAGCAAACGGG
RNAcentral lists this ribosomal RNA (253 nucleotides) under uncultured bacterium. Its description in RNAcentral is "partial 16S ribosomal RNA". It matches the Rfam family "Bacterial small subunit ribosomal RNA", at positions 524 to 776 of the family's 1533-position model. The record is from RNAcentral.